This 29-nucleotide non-coding RNA is filed under the name Mus musculus (house mouse). The record is from RNAcentral. Lineage: Eukaryota; Metazoa; Chordata; Mammalia; Rodentia; Muridae.
UCUUAAGAACUUCACCUGAGAUGCUAGCC